UUUGAAAAUUUUUUUAUAGCUUCAUCAAAAUUAAUGUUUUUAGCUACUGCACAUUUAUACAUAAUCAUCCUCCCAGAAUACAAGGUCCCUUUUUUAUAUUCCUACAUAUACGUACAUAUACUUAAGAUUCUUUGGAGGCCCCUUGAUCAGAGGCCCGGGGCGAUCUGCUCCCUGGUAUGCCACUGUUUGUUGCAAUAUUUAGGCGAAUUUCUAGAAGUUUUUUUUUAUAUAGGUGCAUAAUCUGUGGAUGAUCUAAUAAGUGCUGCAAUCACUAGUAUCAAAAUGGCAUCUUGGAAGGAGAAAAUUCUGUAUUAUGAAACAAAAUCAUUGAGGUGUAGAUGUUCAUCAGUUUUUGGAUACAAAGUAUCCAAAUCAAAGGAUUGGGAGGAAUGGUCCAAAACUAUGACCAUCACAUUCACCAGAUAUUAUACCUCUUGACUUUUGUUAUGGGAAUUUAUUAAGGACAAAGUGUAUUCAGUACCAAUUCUUAAUACUGAAACUUUGAAGCAAGGAUAACUAAUGCUUUAGUGACAGUGACUGACAAGAUGGUGGAGAAAACAUGAAGAGAAAUAGAAUAUUGAUUAGAUAUUCUCCAAGUAACAAAUGGAAGACAUGUUGAAGUUUCUAGUAUAGAAAAAACUGUGGAAAUAUUAUUUAUUGUUUGGUAAAAAACUUUUUGAGUUAAAAUAUAAUGUGCU
RNAcentral lists this long non-coding RNA (698 nucleotides) under Androctonus crassicauda. The record is from RNAcentral. Lineage: Eukaryota; Metazoa; Arthropoda; Arachnida; Scorpiones; Buthidae.